RNAcentral lists this ribosomal RNA (314 nucleotides) under Hydrocoleum sp. CS-953. RNAcentral's name for it is "Bacterial small subunit ribosomal RNA". It matches the Rfam family "Bacterial small subunit ribosomal RNA", at positions 1 to 307 of the family's 1533-position model. Lineage: Bacteria; Bacillati; Cyanobacteriota; Cyanophyceae; Oscillatoriales; Microcoleaceae. The record is from Rfam by way of RNAcentral.
AUCAUGGAGAGUUUGAUCCUGGCUCAGGAUGAACGCUGGCGGUCUGCUUAACACAUGCAAGUCGAACGGGCUCUUCGGAGCUAGUGGCGGACGGGUGAGUAACGCGUGAGAAUCUGCCUUCAGGUCUGGGACAACAGAAGGAAACUUCUGCUAAUCCCGGAUGAGCCCUUGGGUAAAAGAUUAAUUGCCUGGAGAUGAGCUCGCGUCUGAUUAGCUAGUUGGUGUGGUANUAGUGGCGGACGGGUGAGUAACGCGUGAGAAUCUGCCUUCAGGUCUGGGACAACAGAAGGAAACUUCUGCUAAUCCCGGAUGAG